CGUAGGGCGCGAGCGUUGUCCGGAUUUAUUGGGCGUAAAGAGCUCGUAGGCGGCUUGUCGCGUCGGCUGUGAAAUCCCGUGGCUCAACUGCGGGCUUGCAGCCGAUACGGGCAGGCUAGAGUUCGGUAGGGGAGACUGGAAUUCCUGGUGUAGCGGUGAAAUGCGCAGAUAUCAGGAGGAACACCGGUGGCGAAGGCGGGUCUCUGGGCCGAUACUGACGCUGAGGAGCGAAAGCGUGGGGAGCGAACAGGAUUAGAUACCUGGUAGUCCACGCUGUAAACGUUGGGCGCUAGGUGUGGGGGGCCUCUCCGGUCCUCUGUGCCGCAGCUAACGCAUUAAGCGCCCCGCCUGGGGAGUACGGCCGCAAGGCUA
RNAcentral lists this ribosomal RNA (372 nucleotides) under uncultured organism. RNAcentral's name for it is "bacterial SSU rRNA". It matches the Rfam family "Bacterial small subunit ribosomal RNA", at positions 526 to 896 of the family's 1533-position model. The record is from RNAcentral.